AGUUACGCCAGUAUUUUGUGUCUUAUUUUUGGUGUAAGCCAGCAUCUGCAGUUCCUUCCUGAACAUAAGCACUUGGAUACAUACAUAUUAGAUAAGCAUCUGCAACCACAGUAUGUAUUUUGAGCUUAAAAUCCAUAUGCAUUUUAUUUGCAUUGGGAACGGCCGAGAUAACUUUGUCCCCCCUCUAAAAUGCAACUUCAGAAAUGCAAAUAGUCCAGGUGUGUGGACCCUAAAGGCGGAUAAAUCGGCGGCGAGGUGGCGAAUUCAACGGCAAUGGGCGGUGAGUAAUGGUAGCGCUUCCCCGCUGCAGCGCCCCGGCGGCCGUUGCCAUGGCAGCCGCCUGAGCGGCGCCGCGCUCCGCUGGCCGGAGGGCGGCUGUGAAUGGGUGACGUCACGGGGCUGGCGCCAGCGAGGCGGCAGUGGGUCGGAGGGAGCUGCUAGCGGCCGCUGCUCCUUGCCAAUUCAUCAGCUGUCGGUGGCGGGGAGCAGGGCCGAUGCACACAGCUGGGCCGGCAACACAAAAGGACACAAUGCAAGAAAAGCCGCCUGCACCAGAUGUGGACUUGGGAAUUUGAACGCUUUAAGCUUGCUUGCAUUUGCAUCACUGCUUACUACACAUAUCCACACACACGCACAGAAAGCGAAUGGUACUGCAGGCGAUAGGAGCACAAAGAAAAAUAAACUGCAGUGGUGUAUGUUAAAUAAAGAAAUGAAAUAGACCUGGCCGUUAUUUUUAUAUUAUUCUUUAUUCGCCCCGCGAGUUCUUCGGGAUCUGGGAACUCGUAUACCUGUGCAUUGCAUACUGUUGCAGAUAAAAGGAUAAUGAAAUUCAUCUUAUUUCACCAGAUCAAAAUACAGCAAGUGAGAUAGCAAGAACCAAGAUAGCACCUAAACACCCUCACGAUGCAGUAGUCCUGUUAAGAUCGAGAAACGUAACGAUCGCUAGAUUUUUUUAAUAUGCUAUUGUAGCACCGAACUAUUGGGAUGGAGACAAUGAACUUCCGAUACUUUGCACUAACUGCUUAAACAAAUCCAUUACAUCAACAAUUUAGUCCGUUGAAAAGGUGCGCUGUGGUUCACACUGGUUUAUGCCUACAUAAUAAAAGUAAAACUGAAAAAAA
This is a long non-coding RNA of Amblyraja radiata (thorny skate), 1121 nucleotides long. RefSeq lists it as uncharacterized. The transcript is spliced from 2 exons. The record is from RefSeq and is a predicted model, not a curated record. Lineage: Eukaryota; Metazoa; Chordata; Chondrichthyes; Rajiformes; Rajidae.